UAUGGCAGUUGUGCCAACAUAUCUCAUCAGCCACCUGGUGGAAGGGACUUUGUGGAUCUGAGGCUCUUUUCCCUGUUGCCUCCAUCAUCCUCCAAAUCCUACCAACAUUAGCCGCCUCCGAGUGUAACUGGUCCUUGUCUGGGAACAUACACACCAAAGCACGCAACAGGCUGACCAAUACAAGAGUUGAAAAAUUGGUGGCCAUCCUGGCAAAUUUGAGACUUUUUGAGCCUGACAAUGGCUCAAUGAGCCAUCCUCAACAAGUUUGAGCUGUGCAUCAUUUUCUAAUCCCAGGUAGAAACGGUGCCUGUAAAUCCCUGUGUUACAAUGUCUUACUUUCUAUGCAUGGACUUUCAAUGGUUCAUUUUAAGUCAAACUACAAAUAUGGGACAUUGACUGGAAAACUGUCUGUCAGCCACAAAGUCCUUUUUAAACUACUCGUGACUGAUCAGGAAAACACAAGUCAGAAAAUUUAACAUAGACAUACUCAAGGUAAUACAUCUUGGUGACUCAUGAGGGCUGUGACUUUGCCAGGUUUUGAUCACUGAAAGCCAUGCUCAGUUUCUAGAGAUAAAGCAUACGAUUCCCCAGCCUGAAUAGGUAUGAAUCCCCUUAGACCCGUCUCUUGGAUUUUCGCACUAAGUUGUAAAAUGUUGACUCAUUGUGAUGUCUUUCCCUGUCCAGUGGUUUUACCACAUUGCGGCCUGCCUGGCUGAGUUCCUGGAGCUGAAGGGUCAGACGCUACCUCUGGGCUGUACCUUCUCCUUCGAGCAGAAAGACAUCGACAAGAGUAUCCUGAUCCGUUGGACCAAAGGCUUUCUUUAACUGUUUAGGAGUGGAUGUGGUCAGGCUACUGAGAGAAGCCAUCCACAGCAGAGAGUUGCAAUGGUGAAUGACACUGUGAGGACCAUGAUGAGCUGUGGAUACAGGGACCAGAGCUGUGAGAUUGACAUGAUCAUUGCUUCAGUAAGCAGCUCCAGGAGACCGUAAGAAUCCUGGUCCCUAAGUGUAACAUCACUUUCCUCGUCACGGAGCAUGGCAGCGGAAAAGGGCACUGCCAUGGUAACGGCGGUGGCACAAGCUGGCCAUGUAGCCCCGACUGUUAGAGGACAGCAGAGGAGGAUGAGGAAGAUGGAAAUUAAUGUUAGGCCAGAGGAGGCACACUGGAAAGACUACUUGAAAUGCAGCACCAUAAAAAUGUCCCCCUCAAAUGCUUUUGUUGUACGGUACAUGCUAAACAGCUCACUCACUUUCUCUUACUGUGUGGAAAGUGAUGAAUGAACUUUUUUACCGUAGGCUACCGUUAAAAAUAAAUGUUUUAUUGUACAUGGUUAA
This is a long non-coding RNA of Salvelinus namaycush (lake trout), 1335 nucleotides long. RefSeq lists it as uncharacterized. The transcript is spliced from 4 exons. The record is from RefSeq and is a predicted model, not a curated record. NCBI's taxonomy places the organism in Eukaryota, Metazoa, Chordata, Actinopteri, Salmoniformes, Salmonidae.